GUGUGGCCGCGUUAGCGAUUGCAGCGAAAAUCCUUUUAUGCAAUGCAAUGAAAUAAAAGAUUGCAGCGGAAAGCGCGGCCCGCA
This 84-nucleotide small RNA is filed under the name Flavobacterium noncentrifugens. RNAcentral describes it as "Flavo-1 RNA". It matches the Rfam family "Flavo-1 RNA". The record is from Rfam by way of RNAcentral. Lineage: Bacteria; Pseudomonadati; Bacteroidota; Flavobacteriia; Flavobacteriales; Flavobacteriaceae.